Molecule: long non-coding RNA, 1535 nt
Organism: Agrilus planipennis (emerald ash borer)
Lineage: Eukaryota; Metazoa; Arthropoda; Insecta; Coleoptera; Buprestidae
Exons: 4
Source: RefSeq, a predicted model, not a curated record
UUAAAGUAGUUCGGCUAAAUUUUUAUUGACAACAGUGAAAAACUGGCUUCUACCAGAGUUAAAAGUGAACACAAAAAUAAGCUAAAAAUCGCCGGUUGACUUGUUCUUAGUUUUUCUUUUAAACUAAUUUUAAGUGCAAAUGAUUUUUUAUGAAGACAUGUUGAAAACGAAGUUUCAAGAUUAGCAAACGUUUGGUAUCUCAGAUAUACGUAUAUAUAUGUUUGGCAAGAUAUCAAAAAGUUUUUUGACUUAGAGUCCAAAUUAAUGUAAUAUCGAAACAUCUAUGCAUACACACAAGACUCAAAAACAUCCUCUAAAUAAGGGUAAAAAUACAUAAAAUAAUUGAAACACGUCUAUAAGGGGAUGGAAAUUACUCUUAUACAAUAUCAAACUGUUUGUAUCUAUUAUAACUCCAGUAAUUGGAAACAAAUCCUGAACUCCUUAAGUUUUAUGAAUAUAAAUAAAGCAUAAACAUGUUACGACUUCGGUUACAAAGUAAAAAAAUUACCCGUGUAUUGAAUUAUAAAUUUGAGUCAUUGAUGUAGGUACCAUAACUUGCAUUUUGAUAGCAGUUUGUCUGGAUCUGGAAUGAUAACAAAUAUUCCCACAUUUUUUUUUAUAUAGAUACUUAUGGAAAGAUAAAAAUGCGGUGAAAACUUAACGUUUACAAUAGUCAACGACGUAUUGAAUAUAUGUCAGGUUUUGAUAUUUGUAUUUCAUUGUACUGUAUUUACCUGAGGUACCAUACGGUCAGCUAUGUGAUUCCAACAUGAUUAUCUUACCCCAUCAAAGUUAAACGUUUUUAUGUGGAAUUUUGGAAUAAAAGUGUUCUAUUUAUGAUAGAAUAUAUGUAAUAUGUAUAUAGGAGGAGAAUACACGGACCCGAACGAUUUUCGAAAAGGGAAGGGAAAAGCAAUUUAUCUUUAUGAAAUUCCUCAUUUUCUUGGUCCGUUCGGACAACAAAAAGGCGACUCUGACAAUAUCACGGGUGCGAGAGAGAGAUAGAGGUCAUCGCGGAGGCAAAGAUCUUGAUACUGUAACAUUUCUCCAAAUAGAUAGACGCAAGAAAUGUCUACCGCUUGAAGAAGCCACAGCGUGAUGAAAUAAUUAUUGUGGAAUCAAUAAAUAACUCGUUUCCGUUAUUGCGAUGGAGUUUCAAGAACUAAAAGCCUGUAUUCACACAAUGGAGUGAAAUCGAAAUAUGUGAACCAACAACCGAUAUCACCAGAAGAAACGAAAAAUGAAACAACAAACUUUAUAGUUAAAGGUCGCCGGGAAUAAUGAGAAGGAAAAAGAAAUUAAGAAUGAAGUAAAUGGGUUAGAAAUUAUUAAAAGACGAUGGAAAAGAUAAAAAAUGAACGACGAUAUAUGAAGAAAAUAAAGGAAAAUGUCUAAUGUCUGAUAAAGCAGAAAUAUUGGUUUACAUUAUCCUUUUAACACCAAAAAGAUUUUGAGCUCGUACUUUUUAUUGAAGUUACUAAGAAUUAUGGAGACCUGAAACAUAAACAAAAGUAAUAAAUUAUCAUUUGAGAUGA